CUGCCGUCUAUUAAGCCGACCAGCUCUUCUGCAGUGUGGUUCUGGUGUGCAAAGGCUGCAGACAGUGACUCUUUGGUUGUGUAUGUUCUCAGCCGUGUGGUGCUGAGUGCUUUAAGGGACCACUGAGACACAA
Molecule: small nucleolar RNA, 133 nt
Organism: Synchiropus splendidus (mandarinfish)
Lineage: Eukaryota; Metazoa; Chordata; Actinopteri; Syngnathiformes; Callionymidae
Product: small nucleolar RNA SNORA70
Exons: 1
Source: RefSeq, a predicted model, not a curated record